This 65-nucleotide transfer RNA is filed under the name Sarcophaga carnaria (camouflaged flesh fly). Its description in RNAcentral is "tRNA-Thr". It matches the Rfam family "tRNA". From Rfam's summary of the family: Transfer RNA (tRNA) molecules are approximately 80 nucleotides in length. Their secondary structure includes four short double-helical elements and three loops (D, anti-codon, and T loops). Further hydrogen bonds mediate the characteristic L-shaped molecular structure. tRNAs have two regions of fundamental functional importance: the anti-codon, which is responsible for specific mRNA codon recognition, and the 3' end, to which the tRNAs corresponding amino acid is attached (by aminoacyl-tRNA synthetases). tRNAs cope with the degeneracy of the genetic code in two manners: having more than one tRNA (with a specific anti-codon) for a particular amino acid; and 'wobble' base-pairing, i.e. permitting non-standard base-pairing at the 3rd anti-codon position. The record is from RNAcentral. Lineage: Eukaryota; Metazoa; Arthropoda; Insecta; Diptera; Sarcophagidae.
GUUUUAAUAGUUUAAUAAAAACAUUGGUCUUGUAAAUCAAAAAUAAGACGCAUUCUUUUAAAACU